ACACACACAGGGUCACAUCCAUUUCCUGCAGAUUUUCCAGUCUCUCUCAGCUCCUCCUGAAUCUACAGACGUAAAUGACGAUCCCUUCAGUUCUCUUUCCUCUUUUGAUGUUGUGAGAGAAUCUGUCCAUCAGCUGAGAGACAAACUGGAGGAUUUCUGCAAAAAGGAGCUGAAGAAGAGGCAUUUUGGCAGAAAUGUUAUGUUUUCAAGCACUGUGCACUUUGCAAGACUUUUUUGAAACAGACAUUACAAUGUCUUGA
Molecule: long non-coding RNA, 260 nt
Organism: Megalobrama amblycephala (Wuchang bream)
Lineage: Eukaryota; Metazoa; Chordata; Actinopteri; Cypriniformes; Xenocyprididae
Exons: 3
Source: RefSeq, a predicted model, not a curated record